Molecule: ribosomal RNA, 222 nt
Filed under: uncultured bacterium
Lineage: Bacteria
Description: partial 16S ribosomal RNA
Rfam family: Bacterial small subunit ribosomal RNA
Source: RNAcentral
AGUAAUACAUCGGAACGUGUCUUCUAGUGGGGGAUAACUGCCCGAAAGGGCAGCUAAUACCGCAUGAGACCUGAGGGUGAAAGCGGGGGAUCGCAAGACCUCGCGCUGGAAGAGCGGCCGAUGUCCGAUUAGCUAGUUGGUGAGGUAAAGGCUCACCAAGGCGACGAUCGGUAGCUGGUCUGAGAGGACAACCAGCCACACUGGGACUGAGACACGGCCCAG